AACGAACGCUGGCGGCAUGCCUAACACAUGCAAGUCGAACGAGACCUUCGGGUCUAGUGGCGCAUGGGUUCGUAACGCGUGGGAACCUGCCCUUAGGUUCGGAAUAACUCUCCGACAGGGGUGCCAAUACCGGAUAAUGUCUUCGGACCAAAGAUUUUUUGCCUUUGGAUGGGCCCGCGUUGGAUUAGCUAGUUGGUAGGGUAAAAGCCUACCAAGGCGACGAUCCAUAGCUGGUUUGAUAGGAUGAUCAGCCACACUGGGAGUGAGACACGGCCCAGACUCCUACGGGAGGCAGCAGUGGGGAAUAUUGGACAAUGGGCGAGAGCCUGAUCCAGCAAUGCCGCGUGAAUGAUGAAGGCCUUAGGAUUGUAAAGCUCUUUUACACGGGAUGAUAAUGACAGUACCGGAAGAAUAAGCGCCGGCUAACCCCGUG
RNAcentral lists this ribosomal RNA (433 nucleotides) under uncultured bacterium. Its description in RNAcentral is "partial 16S ribosomal RNA". It matches the Rfam family "Bacterial small subunit ribosomal RNA", at positions 29 to 507 of the family's 1533-position model. The record is from RNAcentral.